This is a non-coding RNA of Castor canadensis (American beaver), 2700 nucleotides long. The record is from RefSeq and is a predicted model, not a curated record. Lineage: Eukaryota; Metazoa; Chordata; Mammalia; Rodentia; Castoridae.
CCCAGACCCCCUCUAUGGAGAGAGCUCACAACUGCAGGGCUAAUGCCAGAUGUGGCCCUCCAAUAAGAGCGUGUGGGUUCUUUAGUGACCCAUUUCCUAGCACUCUCCUUCUCCACCAGGAUCUUCUCUACCAAGAUCUGUUUUCUGCCCAUCUGUGAAGAAGGAAUGCUCUUUUACUGCUCAGAAGGGGAAAACACUAAGCCUGGCCCACAGGAAGUGCUUGGAAAGUGCUAGCUGUUUUUAAUCCUUCCUUGGGGUCUCCAGGUAGCCUUUCUGAUGCCCAGGAGCAGGCUCUCAUCCAUGGAGAAGCCCCUCAUGGUCCUGCAUGUGAGCCUGUACCACCCCACACUGGACCCAGUUGCCUUUGCCAAAGUCUCACAGCAACUGCAACAUGACACCAGCCCAUUGCUGAUUGGGCGGGGACAGGACACCCACUUGCAGCUGCAGCUGCCCCAGCUCUCCCGCCAACAUCUGUCCCUGGAGCCCUACCUGGAGAAGGGUGGCACUCUUCUGGCUUUCUGCCUAAAGGUCCUGAGUUGCAAGAGCUGUGUGUGGGUCAACGGGCUGCCACUGAGGUACCUCGAGCAGGUCCCCCUGAGCACGGUCAACAGGGUCUCCUUCUCUGAUGUCCAGCUGGUGGUCCACAUAGAAGAAGGCACCUCCCUUGAGGCCUUUCUCUGUUUCUUCCAUCUUAGUCCCUCGCCUCUGAUUUACAGACCCAAGGCUGAGGAAGCUGAUGAAUGGGAGUCUCCUGGAGCAACCUCUCCCGUGUCCAAGGGAACUGACUCAAGGUCACCUGGGGUUUCUACAUAGCCCCUCCCAGACUCUGAAAGUCCUCUCCAACCAAGCCCUGGAGGAGGAACAGAAAUACAGCUGCAGAGGGAGCCCCCAAACUCUGCACUCUGCUGGCCCUGCCACUGAGAGUGAAAAAAAGGCUUGGACUAUCUGAGCUACGUCAUGCAAGUGGCAAGCCACAUCAUCCCUGUCCCCCAGGCAGACACCAGCAACUCCUGCCUUGCCACAUCAAUUCUCCAUCUACACACACCAGAGCUUCCUGUUAAAGAGUUCCCCAGAGGCCACAGAGGCCAGGAUGCUACACCGCUGGAGGCAUCUGCACCUUCAAAGAAAGGACUAAUGAGUUCAAAGAAGAAAGAAUGGUAUUAAACUUUCCACAGCAGGUCAUGAAGCAAACGGUCACUUCAUAAAUGCGUAAUGCGAGGCUUAGUCAAGGGGCAGAUUCCAUGUCUCCUGGUGUCUAAAUAGUAGAAUUGAAACAGGAACUGGGAAUUGAUUUUUUUCUACAGCUGCUCACUGUGCCAUCAGGCUGUUGUCAGCAAAGAGGUGCUAGAUGCAAGCAAGACCCAUGUGGUAUAGACGGUUCAUCACCACCUUCACUGCCAGCAGCCAGCUGCAAUCUGGGACAUCUGCCUCCCACUCCAUUGCUCCUCAGGCCCCUGUUUCUUCUUCCCCAGCUUCUACCCUGUGACCUUUGGUGGUGGUUGAGGUUGCCAUGGUCCAGGAAGUCAAAUGGCCUCCCUCCAGCAUGACUCCCAGCAGCAUCUCUGCUGCCCCAGGCCCUCAACCCAGUCAAGACUCAAGGGGUGGGGGAAGUAGACAAGCCCAGUGCCUCAACUCUUAGGAGGAGAUGCUGAAUUUAAUGUUAUUCGCAUUGCAGGGCUGAGGGUCUUACCUUUAACGUGAACUCACAGGUGGAUAGAAGUAAAAUAAAACCUACCACUUGAGUUACAUUCUCAGCUGAUUGAAAACAUGCAUUACCUCCCUGUGACCAGGCUGUGAGAAGGGAAGUUAUUAUCUUUCUUUAGAGUUUGUAAACUCUUUAUGACUGAGGCAGUUUUAAUCCUGCUGGGGGGAAAUGGCACAGGAAUAAUUUGCUCCCAUUUACUGUUGUUUUCCAAUCACACACUCCAGUGAGAACAAAACUUCCCAAGUGAGGAGAAGUGGAGGGCCAGGUGACCACCACAGAAGACUUUCGUUAUUUUCUUCUUUGGGCACUUGACUUGAAAGGGCUUUAAGGUGCCAUUUGGAAAGGAGGGUUGUUCUACAAAAAUGUGCAUCCAGUGAGGAUGCCAGUGCCUUAUAACUAGUUCUUCUCCCUUUUUUCCAGGGGAAGACAGCCUCCACCCCCAGAAUGCCCACUUCUUAGUGGGCACUUGCCACAAAGCACCCAGCUCUAGACAUUUGAAGACAACUAAGAAAAAGGGAAAAUCAAAUCCACAUGGAAACAUGGACAGACUGGGGGCGGGCCGGGGGGGAGCUCUGGAGAAGCUGAUUUCCCUCCCCUAUUGCUUCUCUGAUCCCCUCUGCCUAUAACUUAAUGGCAGAACUUAUGUGUACCAGUUACCAGCAAAGCCAUCAGGACAACCCAGGCUCUGAGCCCAGCUUUCUAACUGCUGGAAGGAGGCCUGGCUGGGAUGUCUGCCUUGCUGUCCUCUAAAGAUAUGUAGAGGCAAGAGGUAGGGAGAGGUCAGGAUAAAGCAGAGGAGGAGGUCAAAAGAGGGAGAGCUCAGCCAGGCAGCCAGACCUGGGGUUUUGGUGAUUGCUUCUCUGCAGAGUAGGUCCAGGACAUACAUCAUAAUGUCAUUCUUUCAGAAAGCUUGCUGUAGAUGGGCUGGGAACAUGGGCCCUAUUAAGUGACCUUGUUUCAAGGGCUGUUUCAUCCAUGAUCCAGUCAUGCAAAUA